AGUGAACGCUGGCGGUAGGCCUAACACAUGCAAGUCGAACGGCAGCACAGUAAGAGCUUGCUCUUACGGGUGGCGAGUGGCGGACGGGUGAGGAAUACAUCGGAAUCUACUUUUUCGUGGGGGAUAACGUAGGGAAACUUACGCUAAUACCGCAUACGACCUACGGGUGAAAGCAGGGGAUCUUCGGACCUUUCGCGAUUGAAUGAGCCGAUGUCGGAUUAGCUAGUUGGCGGGGUAAAGGCCCACCAAGGCGACGAUCCGUAGCUGGUCUGAGAGGAUGAUCAGCCACACUGGAACUGAGACACGGUCCAGACUCCUACGGGAGGCAGCAGUGGGGAAUAUUGGACAAUGGGCGCAAGCCUGAUCCAGCCAUACCGCGUGGGUGAAGAAGGCCUUCGGGUUGUAAAGCCCUUUUGUUGGGAAAGAAAAGCAGCAGGUUAAUACCCCGAUGUUCUGACGGUACCCAAAGAAUAAGCACCGGCUAACUUCGUG
RNAcentral lists this ribosomal RNA (492 nucleotides) under uncultured bacterium. RNAcentral's name for it is "partial 16S ribosomal RNA". It matches the Rfam family "Bacterial small subunit ribosomal RNA", at positions 29 to 507 of the family's 1533-position model. The record is from RNAcentral.